This is a long non-coding RNA of Diceros bicornis minor, 456 nucleotides long. RefSeq lists it as uncharacterized. NCBI's taxonomy places the organism in Eukaryota, Metazoa, Chordata, Mammalia, Perissodactyla, Rhinocerotidae. The record is from RefSeq and is a predicted model, not a curated record. The transcript has 3 exons.
GCGCGUGCGCGGCGUGAGGUCGCGCCCCCCUCACGAAUCAUAGAGUUUGGCGAUGCGUUAUAGAGAGGGAAACGAUUACGCCCCUCACUUGUACUGGCUUCAGAUAGUGGGACUGGAGAGUCGGCGGCGGGGUGCCGGAGGCGCCGCGAUCACCGUAAACCGGCCCUCUAACGGCCGUAUUUACUUCAGACAUUUCAGCUUCCGAGAUAGCUUCCCUUCACUAAGAUGUCAACGGAUAAACAGAAUUGUGGGUCAUUCAAGCUCUGUGAUGCCAACAACUGAAGAUCAGACGCCUGGCUCCCAGCCUCUGUGGGAGGGGAGGAGUCUAACUUGGAUAAGCGCCAGCUAGCAAACCCAGGUGGUCUCCCCCGGUGCUAAGUUACAAGAGACACUGCUUUGGGAAUUAUCUCCAGUGUUCCCCAUUGCUUGUGCAAACAAUAAACCUUUCUUCACCUA